RNAcentral lists this long non-coding RNA (937 nucleotides) under Coffea arabica (coffee). RNAcentral's name for it is "long non-coding RNA (CARA_LNC007751)". The record is from RNAcentral. Lineage: Eukaryota; Viridiplantae; Streptophyta; Magnoliopsida; Gentianales; Rubiaceae.
UUUCACCUAAUUGGUUGUGCUAUAUUCUUUCUUGUUUAAUCUUAGGUUUUCUCGAUGACCGAGGGUAAUAUCCGGUAGGAUAUUUUUGACGUUAUUUUGCAUAACUAGGUGAGUGUUCCUUGUUUGUUGUAUUUUCUUGACUUCAUGACUUGUAUUAUUGUUUGAUAACGUGUUAAGUGCUCUCAAUGAUUUUCAAAAUGAGUUUUCUAGGCGAGUGUGUACUUUAUCGCACUCGACCUAAAUAAAUGUGAAAUUGUCAAGGAUUUAAUGAUUGAAACGUUAGUUGCGCAUGAUGUAAGCCUUUUGGCUGAACUGGGCCCUGCCCUUUGUUACCGAUAGACUCGAGCCAGAAGCGGAUUUGGUCGGGCGAUAUGGUGACCCUGGGUGAAUUUGGUAUACUCGAGUAUUACCUUGUAUUCUGGUGGAGCCUGGCCAACGUCCAGGAGGGGGUGAAUGAAACGAAAGAAAGAACGAGGGUUUUAUUUAAAAAAAAAUGCAUUUUCCAAACGAUUGGAGGAAUAAGGGGAAAUGACAGGAGAACGAACGAACGAACGUAUCCUUUUAACGAACGAACGUAUCGCUUUAUAUUGUGAAUGUUUCAUGACUUGUUGUUUGAUUUAUGGCUUGAUUAUAUGUUCGGAACCUCACUGAGCUUUUAGCUCAUCCCUUUAGUUUUGUUUUCCUUAACAGGGGAAGGCGAGCAAGGACGAGAGCUUGUAUCGACUAGCCUAAGCUAGGCCGUUGAUUUUGUAAUGGUUCUCGCCCUAGUGCUUGGCACUGGCUGGUUGUAUGAAAAUUGAGAACCUUUGUAUAUUCGAUGGUUGUAUUUCCUUUUAGAUAGCAAUGUAUAUAAGUUUCACUUUAAGUUUGGAACAUUGUUACACUUAUUCUUGGGGUUUAUUCCGAUGGUUGCUUGAAAUGAUCGACUGAGUCCCGG